RNAcentral lists this ribosomal RNA (433 nucleotides) under uncultured bacterium. RNAcentral's name for it is "partial 16S ribosomal RNA". It matches the Rfam family "Bacterial small subunit ribosomal RNA", at positions 29 to 507 of the family's 1533-position model. The record is from RNAcentral.
AACGAACGCUGGCGGCAUGCCUAACACAUGCAAGUCGAACGAGACCUUCGGGUCUAUUGGCGCACGGGUUCGUAACGCGUGGGAACCUUCCCUUAGGGUCGGAAUAACUCCCCGACAGGGGUGCUAAUACCGGAUAAUGUCUUCUGACCAAAGAUUUAUCGCCUUUGGAUGGGCCCUCGUUGAAUUAGCUAGUUGGUAGGGUAAAAGCAUACCAAGGCGACGAUCCAUAGCUGGUCUGAGAGGAUGAUCAGCCACACUGGGACUGAGACACGGCCCAGACUCCUACGGGAGGCAGCAGUGGGGAAUAUUGGAAAAUGGGCGAAAGCCUGAUGCAGCACUGACGCGUGAGUGAUGAAGGCCUUAGGGUUGUAAAGCUCUAUUACCCGGGCUGAUAAUGACAGUACCGGGAGAAUAAGCUCCGGCUAACUACGUG